Pelobates cultripes (western spadefoot toad) is the source of this 3775-nucleotide non-coding RNA. The record is from the annotation of a GenBank genome assembly. Lineage: Eukaryota; Metazoa; Chordata; Amphibia; Anura; Pelobatidae.
GUGUAUAAAAGCAGCAAUAAAUCCUCAGUGCAGUCAGUUCUUCUUCACCCUCCAUCUAGAGUCUUGUCUCUUAUUGGGGUAACAGCUAUACAGCCAUCAUACUUGCUCUUCUAAGAGCUCCUUCACUUGGAUGACUACUGGAUGCUGAGAAUACCCCUCAUUCAUCGGGAGAAGGACGUCCUCCACUGGUGGAAACCCCUCUGCUCACCGGGGUAAGCGCUACAUAACCCUUCAUAUUACUCCAUAUAACCCUCCCUAUAACUCUUCCUGUUAAUCCAUAUAACCCCUCCUAUUACUCCAUAUAACCCUCCCUAUAACAUACAGUUCCUGCUUCACUCUCUUGGAGGAGAGGUUCACCCACUGGAACCUAGAGCCUUGUCGUAAUGGGGUGGGUAGGAGACGGCGAGACCCCAACCAAGCUGCGGCGGUUCAUGGGGUUUCCGGUGGUUGUGGUGUCUGGCGGGGCGCUUGGAGCCCUCUGUAAGCGCUAGGAGCAUUCUUCAACUGAGGUACCCAGUGGGGGUGCCAGGUGAUCCGUUACACACCCCAAAACUCAAACAUAUUCCCAUAAAUUAUACAUCCCUGGAUGGCUCUGAUCUGGGUGAAUAUCCAAAAAUCACCCAGAUCAGAGCACGGGGUCAAAGGUUUUGUGGAAGUCACAUUUGACCGACCGCAUGCAUGCACAUUUUCAUGCCCAAAACAGUUCCAGAGAAUUAGGCUGUGCGGCCGGUCUAUUUCCAUUACUAAGAUCUGUUUGAAUGCACAAACGGGGGCCGUUCGUGCAAAUAGUCAAAGUUAAAGUGACGUUCGAAUUGUCAAACGCAUUUCGAUUCCCGUCAAAGUGUCGAAGUCCCGGAGAAGGUAAAGGUCAGCGGUGUUCGUGCCAUUGCGUGUCCGAUUUGAGGUCCAUGAACUCGACGACAAAACACUGCUGAACACGUUCGUCUAAACAAGAUGGCCGCCGCCAUGUGUUCAACUAUACAAAUGGCGGCCACUUUGACCAGUUCUACACUUCGGCUGUUUCCGAAGUGCCACUUCAAAAGUGCAGAUCCUUUCCAAUAGAACUUAAAGGGGCAGAAACAGUGUUUUAGAAUCCAAUAUGCUCAAAUAAUGGUUUUAAAGGGCAAUCCGUCCCAGGGGCCAUAGUCACAGGGCAAGAGGCUGGCAAGCAGGCCUCUCCAAAACCCAGUGGUGAUGUGCGGUUCAUCACAUAACCCUUCAUAUUACUCCAUAUAACCCUCCCUAUAAUCCCUCCUAUUACUCCAUAUAACCCGCCCUAUAACAUACAUAUUUAAUUCAUUUUUUACCACAAGGGACCAUAUUUGAAGCAACAAACUUCAUAUUAUUAUUAUUGCCAUUUAUAUAGCGCCAACAGAUUCCAUAGUGCUUUACAAUAUUAUGAGAGGGGGGAUGUAACUAUAAAUAGGACAAUUACAAGAAAACCUACAGGAACGAUAUGUUGAAGAGGACCCUGUUUAAACGAGCUUACAGUCUUUAGGAGGUGGGGUGAAAAACACAUUAGGACAGGGAAUAGCAAUCAAAUAAGGUGGGAGUGACGCAGAGCUGGAGGAGAGAGUAAAGUGCUGCGCCUUUAGGAGAGAGCAAGAGACAGGUAUGUAAGGUAGAAAAGGCCAUAAGCUUUCCUAAAGAGAUGGGAAUUAAGGCACUUCUUAAACGAUUGAAGACUAGAGGAGAGUCUGAUGGUGGUAGGCAGGCUAUUCCAUAGGAAGGGAGCCGCCUGCAAGAUGUCCUGCAAGCGUGAGUUUGCCGUACGCGUUUGAGCAGCGGACAGGAGAAGAUCAUGGGCAGAGCAGAGAGACCAAGAAGGUACCUAUCGAUCUGUGAAGAAAUAUCAGGGGCUAGAAUUGUUUAAUUCUUUAUAGGUAUGGGUUAGCACUUUGAAUUGACUCCUAUAGGAUACAGGAAGCCAAUAUCUGAUUACAGUUGUUCUUAUAAUACUUUCAACCAUUCAGGGCCGGACUGGCCCACCGGGAUACCGGGAAAUUUCCUGGUGGGCCGCAGCAAGCGCAUGCGCAUUCAGCAGAUGAUGUCGGAAGGAGGAGGAGAGUCCCCAGCGCCGAGGGAGCCCGGCGCUGGAUAAAGGUGAGUGUUUAACCACCUUCCUACCCCUUCAGCCCGGCGGGAUGGGGACCAUGAGGGUGGGGCACCCUCAGGGCACUAUAGUGCCAGAAAAACGAGUUUGUUUUCCUGCCACUAUAGUGGUCCUUUAAAUGGGUGUGGUAAGCCAACCAUCUCACGAUACAGAAAAUAUCUCCAUUCACAACAGCAGCAAAAACACACAAAAAUACAUAAUUCCCAUUACACUGAACAGAACAUUCAACCUAUCCCUCUAAAAGUUCCUUCUUGUAUCCUUUUUCACUAAAAUCAUUAAUAAUUCUAAUGGAUUGUACCCUGAAUUUCUCAUUUUCAGUGCAAUUCCGUUUAAUCCGUAAAAGUUGUGCCUUAGGGGCAUUUAGCAGCCAGGGUGAAAAAUGGCAGCUAUUUUCACAUAUAUAGCUAUUUACAUCUACUUUUUUGAAAAAAGUGCAAGUUUUCAGUGUACUUCCUUCUAUGUAUACAUUAAGAUCCAGGAAUUCAACCGAAGUUUUACUCAAAUUACUAUUAAGGUGGAUACCCCAAUCAUUAGUGUUCAAAUGAUUUAAAAAACAAUUCAGUGAAUCUUCGUCUCCUCUCCAAAUAAAGAAUAUAUCGUCAAUGUAACGGCGAUAGGUAACGAGGCCCGCGGACCACCUGUCAUCGUCAUGGAUAAACUCUUGUUCCCAGAGUGCCAUAAACAGAUUGGCAUAACUGGGCGCGAACCUCGUUCCCAUCGCCGUCCCACAUAUUUGAAGAUAAAAUUGCUCCUCGAACCAGAAAUAAUUGUUCUUGAGGAUCCAUUUUAUGCCCUCAAUUAUAAAAUUAAUUUGUUUGUCAGAAAAGGCAGAAAUUUUAAAUAACUAUUUUCAUUCCGUUUAUAUUAAUGAGGAUCCUAUGGCAAGCGAUAUGCUUUAAAGAAAGAACAGCACUAAGAGAAUUAAGAGAAGACCAAACUAUAGUGAUUAAACCGGAGGACAAGGGAGUAGGUAUAGUCAUCCUUGACAUCGAGGAAUAUGUAAAAGAAUCUUUAAAACUACUAAAUGAUUGCAAUACAUACCAAAUCUUACCGAAAGACCCUACAAAGGACAUUACCAUUAGCUACAACACUCUUAUUGAAAAAGGCAAAACAUUAGAAGUUCUAAAUCAGCGGGAAUAUAAAUUCCUCAAUGUACAACACCUGAAAAUUCCGGUAUUCUACUACCUCCCGAAGAUACAUAAAGAUAGAGAUAGACCACCCGGGAGACCUAUUGUCUCAGGGAUUGGAUCUAUCUCUAGCAAAUUAUUUCAGUAUAUUGAUAAAUGUCUACAAACAAUUGUAAGCACUAGUCCCAGUUAUCUACGUGACACUAUUCAUGUAUAUACAAAUUCUACAUGACAUCACAUGGGAUGAUAACUACUAUCUUGUGACAGUCGAUGUCAGUUCUUUCUAUAUACGAUAAUUUCUCACAGCAUGGGCUGCAGAGCUACCAAAUUUUUUUUAGAAAAUUCACAGAAAUUUUCUGACAAACAAAUUAAUUUUAUAAUUGAGGGCAUAAAAUGGAUGGGAAAUGCAGCAGCUACUGGUAAAUUUCUAAAUAAAAUUAGAUCCCAAUAAAAUUACAUUAAUUGAAUAUUUAUUUACAGUGUGUGUAUAGAAUGAAUGCAGUUUGUGUUUGUGUGUUGUGUGUGUAUAUAAUGA